CAGUCGCCGCGGGAAUACGAAGGGUGCAAGCGUUACUCGGAAUUACUGGGCGUAAAGCGUGCGUAGGUGGUGGUUUAAGUCCGUUGUGAAAGCCCUGGGCUCAACCUGGGAAUUGCAGUGGAUACUGGGUCACUAGAGUGUGGUAGAGGAUAGUGGAAUUUCCGGUGUAGCAGUGAAAUGCGUAGAGAUCGGAAGGAACAUCUGUGGCGAAGGCGACUAUCUGGGCCAACACUGACACUGAGGCGCGAAAGCGUGGGGAGCAAACAGGAUUAGAUACCCGCGUAGUCCCUGUCUCUUAUAC
This 301-nucleotide ribosomal RNA is filed under the name uncultured bacterium. RNAcentral's name for it is "partial 16S ribosomal RNA". It matches the Rfam family "Bacterial small subunit ribosomal RNA", at positions 509 to 807 of the family's 1533-position model. The record is from RNAcentral.